GCCCUUGUAGCUCAGUUGGUAGAGCAGUCGUUUCGUACACGACAGGCCGCCUGUUCAAUUCAGGCCGGGGGCACCA
This 76-nucleotide transfer RNA is filed under the name Salipiger sp. PrR003. RNAcentral describes it as "Yangia sp. PrR003 tRNA-Thr". It matches the Rfam family "tRNA". Rfam says of the family: Transfer RNA (tRNA) molecules are approximately 80 nucleotides in length. Their secondary structure includes four short double-helical elements and three loops (D, anti-codon, and T loops). Lineage: Bacteria; Pseudomonadati; Pseudomonadota; Alphaproteobacteria; Rhodobacterales; Roseobacteraceae. The record is from RNAcentral.